Molecule: non-coding RNA, 149 nt
Organism: Caenorhabditis elegans
Lineage: Eukaryota; Metazoa; Nematoda; Chromadorea; Rhabditida; Rhabditidae
Source: Ensembl
AAAAAGAAGCGAGAGAAAAAAGAUAAAUUCAAACACAAACCAAAUUUGAAUAGAGGGAGAGAGAGAGAGAAGUCGAUGCGUUUAUGGGGCAUCUUCUUCUUCCACCUAGUCCUUCAUUUUCCGGAGGGACCAACUCUUUCGCCUUUCAA